GACAGAGGGGGCAAGCGUUGAUCGGAAUCACUGGGCGUAAAGGGCGCGUAGGCGGGAUGGCAAGUCGGUCGUGAAAGCCUUCGGCUCAACCGAAGAACGUCGGCCGAUACUGCCGUUCUUGAGGGAUGCAGAGGAGACUGGAAUUCCCGGUGUAGCGGUGAAAUGUGUAGAGAUCGGGAGGAACACCGGUGGCGAAGGCGGGUCUCUGGGCAUCUCCUGACGCUGAGGCGCGAAAGCGUGGGGAGCAAACAGG
RNAcentral lists this ribosomal RNA (253 nucleotides) under uncultured bacterium. Its description in RNAcentral is "partial 16S ribosomal RNA". It matches the Rfam family "Bacterial small subunit ribosomal RNA", at positions 524 to 776 of the family's 1533-position model. The record is from RNAcentral.